This 391-nucleotide long non-coding RNA is filed under the name Nicotiana benthamiana. Its description in RNAcentral is "long non-coding RNA (NBEN_LNC019697)". The record is from RNAcentral. Lineage: Eukaryota; Viridiplantae; Streptophyta; Magnoliopsida; Solanales; Solanaceae.
CCAACUUCAUAUUACAACUAAGUGAAAUCCAUGGUUCCAAGAAUACCUGGAAAAUGCCAAAAAUAAAGAGAGAGUGAGGGAGUUAUUAGCAAUAGUAGGAAUCAACAAUGGAACAGUGCUGGAAUCAGCAAACUAAGCCCCAAAGAACCCAGCUAAAACAUCAAAUAAGCAGUAACCCAAACUAACAAUUCUAACAUGACCUUUGAAUGCCCAGAAUUAAACAAUUUUUCAACCCAAGUGCAGAAUUCCAGGGUUUUCAGAAGUUCAAACUAAUGAAGAGGAUCAAACAAUCAAUACUAAGCAGAAUUUUGAGUAAUUUUUCACAAAGAAAUGCAGGAAAAUCAGUGUUGUUUCAAGAGUUUUCAGUUGUUUCAGUUUUUGCAGAAUUUUU